This 699-nucleotide ribosomal RNA is filed under the name uncultured bacterium. RNAcentral describes it as "bacterial SSU rRNA". It matches the Rfam family "Bacterial small subunit ribosomal RNA", at positions 8 to 704 of the family's 1533-position model. The record is from RNAcentral.
AGAGUUUGAUCAUGGCUCAGAUUGAACGCUGGCGGCAGGCCUAACACAUGCAAGUCGAGCGAGAAAGCACUUCGGUGCGAGUACAGCGGCGGACGGGUGAGUAACGCGUAGGAAUCUACCUGGUAGUGGGGGACAACAUGGUGAAAACCAUGCUAAUACCGCAUACGCCCCAAGGGGGAAAGCGGGGGAUCUUCGGACCUCGCGCUAUCGGAUGAGCCUGCGUAGGAUUAGCUAGUUGGUGGGGUAAAGGCUCACCAAGGCGACGAUCCUUAGCUGGUCUGAGAGGAUGAUCAGCCACACUGGGACUGAGACACGGCCCAGACUCCUACGGGAGGCAGCAGUGGGGAAUAUUGCGCAAUGGGGGAAACCCUGACGCAGCCAUGCCGCGUGUGUGAAGAAGGCCUUAGGGUUGUAAAGCACUUUCAAUUGGGAAGAAAAGUUUGUCGUUAAUAGCGGCAAGCCCUGACAUUACCUUUAGAAGAAGCACCGGCUAACUCCGUGCCAGCAGCCGCGGUAAUACGGAGGGUGCGAGCGUUAAUCGGAAUUACUGGGCGUAAAGCGCGCGUAGGCGGUUAGUUAAGUCGGAUGUGAAAGCCCUGGGCUCAACCUGGGAACUGCAUUCGAUACUGGCCAACUAGAGUACGAGAGAGGGAGGUAGAAUUCCAUGUUUCCCGGUGAAAUGCGUAAAAUAUGUGGAAG